AGCUUAAUAAUUUAUAUAAAAUAUUUACCUUGAAAGUAAAAAAAAGAAAUUCCUUUAAGCUU
Molecule: transfer RNA, 62 nt
Filed under: Cacopsylla fuscicella
Lineage: Eukaryota; Metazoa; Arthropoda; Insecta; Hemiptera; Psyllidae
Description: tRNA-Ser
Source: RNAcentral